Parasteatoda tepidariorum (common house spider) is the source of this 389-nucleotide non-coding RNA. NCBI's taxonomy places the organism in Eukaryota, Metazoa, Arthropoda, Arachnida, Araneae, Theridiidae. The record is from RefSeq and is a predicted model, not a curated record.
CAAAUAUUAAAAAUCAUUUCACUUUAUUUUUAGUCCAAUGGUUUGACAACUGUUUUCUCUGAAAGCAAAAACUGCAAGCUUACAAAUGAUGCCGAAUUUGAGGUAGAAGAAUAUUUAAUUGCUGAAAAAUAUUUCCCUGUGUAUUUCAGUGCUUAUGAGUUCUUUUCCCUGUCCAAGAACUUCCUGACAACUGUUUUUGGAUCAAUCUUUACUUACCUGAUAAUUCUCGUUCAAUUAACUGCAGAUCCAUGUUGGUUGCCAAAGAAAGAAAAUCAAGCAAAAUAGAACAUGCUUUCACACAUUUUUUUCCCUUCAAUUUUGAUUUUAAGUGUUUUACACCUACUGUAAUAUGUAUAUGUACAUUUGAAAUAAAUCAAUUAUGCAAUUAA